GUAACAAGGUUUCCGUAGGUGAACCUGCGGAAGGAUCAUUUAAGAAAAAAACUGUUUAUAAACAGACGGUAGACUUUUCUUGGGGAGAAGUUAUUGAUUGCUUUGGCCUGCGCUUAACUGCGCGGCUAGUAGUUGAUGAUUUUGUUAUUAUCCGAGACGAAGGAAACGUCUGAUUUUAAAAACAUUCUACACUUUGGAGUACUUUUUUAUUAAUGUAUUUCUUCCUUGGACGAGCAAUUGUUCAAGGGUUAAUAAACACAAACAAUUUUUUUUUUAAUUUUUAAAACAAUUCAAAAAUAUAUCAUUUCUUUUAUUAGAAAUAUAAAAAUUUUAAAACUUUCAACAACGGAUCUCUUGGUUCUCGCAUCGAUGAAGAACGUAGCGAAUUGCGAUAAGUAAUGUGAAUUGCAGAUUUUCGUGAAUCAUUGAAUUUUUGAACGCACAUUGCGCCCUUUGGUAUUCCAAAGGGCAUGCCUGUUUGAGCGUCAUUUCCUUCUCAAAAGAGUUUUUUUAUUCUUUUGGUUGUGAGUGAUACUUUUUCCUUUUACAGGGAAGGGGUUAACUUGAAAUUGUUGCUUAGCAAAGAAGAAUUUUGAUUAAAAUUUCUUGUUUAUUACUAUUAGGUUUAUCCCAACUAGUGAUUAUUGAGAGUUUUUAUUACAGAGUCUUUUCACUUUUGCUAUAAUACUAUUCUAUAAGUUUGACCUCAAAUCAGGUAGGAAUACC
Molecule: ribosomal RNA, 726 nt
Filed under: Saccharomycodes sp. TCJ5
Lineage: Eukaryota; Fungi; Ascomycota; Saccharomycetes; Saccharomycodales; Saccharomycodaceae
Description: eukaryotic LSU rRNA
Rfam family: 5.8S ribosomal RNA (bases 335-488)
Source: RNAcentral